ACUGUCGGAUACGUCCCCUAGACAAUCCUGAUGAUCCUACUUGUAUCAAAGCUCUCGACAAUGCAGUUGUCCAACUUCUACCUCCACAGAACACAGAAAGGGUGACAAGGAAUGGGCAAGUGAAGGAGUACCAGUACACAUUUCAGUAUGUGUUUGAUGAGUAUGCAUCACAGAAAAAAAUAUUUGACUAUGUGGCGAUGCCACUGGUGGACGACC
Long non-coding RNA from Ylistrum balloti, 216 nucleotides. RefSeq lists it as uncharacterized. The transcript has 3 exons. Lineage: Eukaryota; Metazoa; Mollusca; Bivalvia; Pectinida; Pectinidae. The record is from RefSeq and is a predicted model, not a curated record.